This is a small nuclear RNA of Lepus europaeus (European hare), 104 nucleotides long. The record is from RefSeq and is a predicted model, not a curated record. Lineage: Eukaryota; Metazoa; Chordata; Mammalia; Lagomorpha; Leporidae.
GUGCCUGCCUCUGCAGCACAUACACUAAACUUGGAAUGAUACAGAGAUUAGCAUGGCCCCUGUGUAAGGAUGAUACACAAAUUCAUGAAGCAUUCUUUAUUUUA